RNAcentral lists this transfer RNA (73 nucleotides) under Stegodyphus mimosarum. It matches the Rfam family "tRNA". From Rfam's summary of the family: Transfer RNA (tRNA) molecules are approximately 80 nucleotides in length. The record is from Rfam by way of RNAcentral. Lineage: Eukaryota; Metazoa; Arthropoda; Arachnida; Araneae; Eresidae.
GCUUUCUUGAUGUAACUGGUAACACAUCCAGUUGGCAGCUGGAAGAUCCGUGGUUCAAAUCUCGGAGAGAACA